This 476-nucleotide ribosomal RNA is filed under the name uncultured bacterium. Its description in RNAcentral is "partial 16S ribosomal RNA". It matches the Rfam family "Bacterial small subunit ribosomal RNA", at positions 28 to 507 of the family's 1533-position model. The record is from RNAcentral.
GAUGAACGCUAGCGGCGGGCCUAAUACAUGCAAGUCGAACGGGAAAGGUGGCAACACCUUGAGAGUGGCGUACGGGUGCGUAACGCGUAUACAACCUGCCUGUUACACGGGGAUAGCCUUGCGAAAGCGAGAUUAAUACCCGAUGGUACUAUUGAGCGGCAUCGCUUGGUAGUUAAAGCUGAGGCGGUAACAGAGGGGUAUGCGUCCCAUAGCUAGUUGGUAGUGUAACGGACUACCAAGGCGACGAUGGGUAGGGGUUCUGAGAGGAUGAUCCCCCACACUGGUACUGAGAUACGGACCAGACUCCUACGGGAGGCAGCAGUAGGGAAUAUUGGGCAAUGGACGGAAGUCUGACCCAGCCACGCCGCGUGCAGGAAGAAGGUCCUCUGGAUUGUAAACUGCUUUUCUUGGGGAAGAAAACCCUUCUGCGGAAGGAAUUGACGGUACUCAAGGAAUAAGCAUCGGCUAACUCCGUG